AUUGAACGCUGGCGGCAGGCUUAACACAUGCAAGUCGAGCGGGGGAAGGUAGCUUGCUCCCGGACCUAGCGGCGGACGGGUGAGUAAUGCUUAGGAAUCUGCCUAUUAGUGGGGGACAACAUCUCGAAAGGGAUGCUAAUACCGCAUACGUCCUACGGGAGAAAGCAGGGGAUCUUCGGACCUUGCGCUAAUAGAUGAGCCUAAGUCGGAUUAGCUAGUUGGUGGGGUAAAGGCCUACCAAGGCGACGAUCUGUAGCGGGUCUGAGAGGAUGAUCCGCCACACUGGGACUGAGACACGGCCCAGACUCCUACGGGAGGCAGCAGUGGGGAAUAUUGGGCAAUGGGGGGAACCCUGAUCCAGCCAUGCCGCGUGUGUGAAGAAGGCCUUAUGGUUGUAAAGCACUUUAAGCGAGGAGGAGGCUACUUUAGUUAAUACCUAGAGAUAGGGGACGUUACUCGCAGAAUAAGCACCGGCUAACUCUGUG
RNAcentral lists this ribosomal RNA (485 nucleotides) under uncultured bacterium. RNAcentral describes it as "partial 16S ribosomal RNA". It matches the Rfam family "Bacterial small subunit ribosomal RNA", at positions 30 to 507 of the family's 1533-position model. The record is from RNAcentral.